CCGGUUGAUCCUGCCGGAGGUUACUGCUAUCGGAGUUCGAGUAAGCCAUGCGAGUCUAAAGGUUUCUUCGGAAGCCUUGGCGGACUGCUCAGUAACACGUGGAUAACCUACCCUUAGGACUGGAAUAACCCCGGGAAACUGGGGAUAAUACCGGAUAGAUCAGGGAUGCUGGAAUGCACCCUGAUCCAAAGCUCCGGCGCCUAAGGAUGGGUCUGCGGCCUAUCAGGUUGUAGUGGGUGUAACGUACCUACUAGCCGACGACGGGUACGGGUUGUGAGAGCAAGAGCCCGGAGAUGGAUUCUGAGACACGAAUCCAGGCCCUACGGGGUGCAGCAGGCGCGGAACCUUUACAAUGUGCGAAAGCAUGAUAAGGGGACUCCGAGUGCCAGCAUCUAAUGCUGGCUGUCCUUGUGCCUAAAAAGCACAAGAUAGCAAGGGCCGGGUAAGACCGGUGCCAGCCGCCGCGGUAACACCGGCGGCCCGAGUGGUAGCCGCUAUUAUUGGGUCUAAAGGGUCUGUAGCCGGUUCAGUAAGUCCUUUGGGAAAUCUGGUUGCUUAACAAUCAGACUGCCAAGGGAUACUGUUGAACUUGAGACCGGGAGAGGUAAGAGGUACUUCAGGGGUAGGAGUGAAAUCUUGUGAUCCCUGGGGGACCAUCUGUG
Molecule: ribosomal RNA, 662 nt
Filed under: uncultured archaeon
Lineage: Archaea
Description: bacterial SSU rRNA
Rfam family: Archaeal small subunit ribosomal RNA
Source: RNAcentral